AAUAAACCAAUCAUUCACUUUUUACCUACAAUUUUUGACUCUUCGUCUUAUUCAAAUUUUUUUUGCGAUUGAUAUUUUUGUUUUUAUUAGAUGAUAAAUCAUGAAUAGUACUAAUUUUUUUCUAAUUUCCUGAAAAUUUUCAAAUAAAACGAAUGGUCAAACGCUGGACACGGAAACCGAAGAAUUGGUUUUUU
RNAcentral lists this microRNA precursor (194 nucleotides) under Oryza brachyantha (malo sina). Its description in RNAcentral is "MIR812 microRNA precursor family". It matches the Rfam family "MIR812 microRNA precursor family". Lineage: Eukaryota; Viridiplantae; Streptophyta; Magnoliopsida; Poales; Poaceae. The record is from Rfam by way of RNAcentral.